Molecule: long non-coding RNA, 493 nt
Organism: Pimephales promelas (fathead minnow)
Lineage: Eukaryota; Metazoa; Chordata; Actinopteri; Cypriniformes; Leuciscidae
Source: RefSeq, a predicted model, not a curated record
GACCUUUUCCAUCUCCAUCCAGUGUUGUGAUCCAGAAGCAUCAUAGAGAGUUGCGAGUGUGGCAUUUUUGUUCUAAUAUAAAGAUGAGCCAGCCUGUGUGAGAGUACUUCCUCUGGGGUCGUUUGGGCCUUUCCUUCACUUCAGCUGGUGUGAGAUUUCCUGCACUGCAUGUGUAUGGAUUUGGGAGUGUAGAGUGCCGCAAACACUGUUUCUGGUGAUACUGGGGAAACCCCUCCCCCUCCACGGGGGUCCUGAGGGCCCAUCAUGCCUUGAUCCAACCAGAUAUGGGCUCAUGCAGGAGAUAGAAGACUCUCUCACAAAGAACCAAGGACAAUCUCAGGAGUUUGGAACCAGGACUCCGACCAACAACGACUCCAAUCACCCACUCUUCUGACUUCCUCACUUCUCCUGGGUGCUCGGCGUGGCCUCAACACGGCCCAGGGCCCCAGGGCCCCUUGAAAUUUACAGUUUUUUUUUUUAUUCGCUUUGGUAC